CCUACGGGAGGCAGCAGUGAGGAAUAUUGGUCAAUGGACGAGAGUCUGAACCAGCCAAGUAGCGUGAAGGAUGACUGCCCUAUGGGUUGUAAACUUCUUUUAUCUGGGAAUAAAAUGUUCAACGUGUGGGAUUUUGUAUGUACCAUAUGAAUAAGGAUCGGCUAACGCCGUGCCAGCAGCCGCGGUAAUACGGAGGAUCCGAGGGUUAUCCGGAUUUAUUGGGUUUAAAGGGUGCGUAGGUGGUUUGUUAAGUCAGGUGUGAAAGUUUGCGGCUCAACCGUAAAAUUGCAGUUGAAACUGGCAGUCUUGAGUACAGUAGAGGUGGGCGGAAUGCGUGGUGUAGCGGUGAAAUGCUUAGAUAUCACGAAGAACUCCGAUUGCGAAGGCAGUUCACUGGACUGCAACUGACACUGAGGCACGAAAGUGUGGGUAUCGAACAGGAUUAGAUACCCUUGUAGUC
Molecule: ribosomal RNA, 460 nt
Filed under: uncultured bacterium
Lineage: Bacteria
Description: partial 16S ribosomal RNA
Rfam family: Bacterial small subunit ribosomal RNA
Source: RNAcentral